Molecule: non-coding RNA, 3739 nt
Organism: Zonotrichia albicollis (white-throated sparrow)
Lineage: Eukaryota; Metazoa; Chordata; Aves; Passeriformes; Passerellidae
Source: RefSeq, a predicted model, not a curated record
AAUUGCCCCAAGCUCUGCAUAUAAAUGUGCUUUACAAAGGUGUUUGGAUUAAAGAUGUCUGGCUGCAGCUUCAUUAAACAAACUGUUAAUUAAUCUCAAAUAUUAUCUAGGUUGCCAAGGGCUUUUCCUUUGUAGACAAUGAGGGUUUAUCUGUGGAAUCUCCAGCCACUGAGGCUUUCUCCCCUCCUGUAUAUGCCAAGCCCGUGAAUUUUUCCCCAUACAGAGCUCUGGCCAUAGUGGUGCAAGUGCAGCCAAGCACUAAAGCCUUCCCCUGGAACUUUGAGCUGCCAGAUCUUGUUCCCCACCUGGACUGAACUCCUGUCCUCACAUUGUGGAAUGCAGACCUCACCUGUAAAGUUGCAUCAAGGACAAACACAAUAUUAACUUGUCUUUUAGGACAUCAGGCUUUUUCAAGCAUUAUUCUUAAAAGAGGACAUUUGUUAACAAGGGAAAACUCCAGCAAUAGUAGCCAUUCCCACAAAUUUUUUCCCACUAGAUCCUGCAGAGUUCACCAGGUUCUGAUCUGGUCUCCACUCUUACUACUGAAUUAGGAUGAUGGACAAAACCAAGAGGGAUCACUCCUUAAAACCUCUCAGAUGACAGAGUUUAGGGCUAGACUAACCAUCUAGUCUACUAGUCUCACUCUUAGUCACAACCUGACCCUGCUUUUGCAAGACUGUUGGCUUCAAUAAUGCUCUAACCAAGGAAAUGUCACCUUGAAUUUUGACCCAUUUUUCUUUAUUACAUCAUCUCUGCUCUCUUUAAUCUGUUUUGUCUCAGAGUAUGUCUGCUCCUUUUGCAUCAGCUACUGGGUCCCAUCUGCAGAUUAACUUCAGCUUUUGCUUGCCUCUGAUCUUUUUCUCAUUCUUCUAAUGAACAUACCAAAAGGUGGUUAAAAAAAACAUUAUUUCUGGAAUAAUGAAUGAAUAUCAUAAGGAAGAAUAUAAUAGUUCUUUCUGUCUCCUCUGAUUACGAAAGCAAAUAAAUAGAAAAAGUUAUGGAGCUGUUAGUGGAGGAAAAAGGACAAUUACAAGUGAGCCUAAAUUUAGAAUUAUGAGUUUGAGCCAAAGCCCUCUGAGGACCAUGAGAGUCUUUCCACCCACUUCAAAAGGAUGUGGAGCACACCUCGUCCUACCUCACUGCUCAGCAAAGCUUUGGACAAGAGCUGUGUUAACAACCCAGGGAAAUGUUCUUGAAGGUUAAACCCAGCUUAUUUUCAAAGGGAAAGUUUGACAAAUUUUGCCAGACUCUGGACUUUAAUUAAAACACUGGAACAUUUCAAAGUGACAACUAUGUUAAAGCCUUUUUCUUCCAUAUUCCUACUUGGGUGGAUCAAGUGAAGUAAAGGAAAAAAGACAGUCUCUGCUGCAAGUUUUUCUUUCAUUCAGAUGCCUACCCACACCCCAGUCACAGAAAGGAAAAAGGACUGCUUUGACCUCCUCAAUAUCUUAUGCAGACCUAAAAUUAUUUAUACAUGUUGCCCUGUUAUUACACAAAGAACACAUCUGCUGUCUUUAAAAAAACAUUAUUGCCAGUCGUACUGCUCCUGUGAUGAUCUUGUGUAUCAGAACUAUAUUUAGAACAACCUUCUGCUCCCAAGAAAUGCAAAAUGAGUAAGUAUGUAAUUACAGUUUAAAUCUAAUUUAGUGAAAAAUUGGUGUCUCUGAUCCAUUAUAAAGAUUUCAGGUCUACUCAUGCUCCCCUUUUGACAGGACCAGCCACACACAUUCUGCACCACUCGUGAGGUGGAGGUGCUGGUGUUCCUUUGGUGUCGUUGGGUGCUUGGGGUCAAGACAACUGGAAUUUUCUGCUUUCAUAAAAAUUACUUUUUUUUAAAUUAAAAAGUUUGGGGAUUGUUGUUGUGCUUCAAAGCAAUGACCAUUUCCCAAUGUUUCCCAGGAUAUGGAUGUUGUGGAAGAAUCCUGGCUGGAAAGCAAUGCCCCAUGGCACUGCCAAAGCUCAAUGUGCACCUGGGGGUCGAGAAAACAUCAAGGAAGGUUGGUCUCUGCUGUUUUCAAAUCAGCCAGGAAGAGCCCACUGUAUCUCCAGCUGAGAACUCAGAGUGGAGUUUUCAAGCAUCUUUUGCCACCUCUGUGGACUCUGCCCAAAAAGAUUGAUCCCUCAGAAAGUCUGAUGGUUUCGACUUCUAGACAAGUUAGCACUCUUGGAGAACACACUGUAACUUCUGUAUGGAUGAGAUUGACUGGGACUUAUGGAAUGGCAUCAUCUCUCUUAGCUCUAAACUGAGUUGAAUCCAACAUCCCUUUCCUGAAUUGACUAACAAAUCCAGCAGAAGUUUUUGAAGCACUUCUUUGCAAAUCUCAACCACAAAAGAAAAGCAGUCACGUCUACGGGUCCUGAACUGCCUCAAGGAAAAUGGAAACAUCAACAUUUACAGCUUUAACCACUACAUGGAGCAACAAACUCUCCCUGUGCUCCACACAUCACAAAGAGCCACCCAUGCUUCUGAGAGAUGCUCCUGGCUUUCGUGGCAAUGCAGGGCAGCAAAUGGGACAAAGGACUUCAAAGAGAUGGAAGACAGAAAAAAAAAACUACCUUCAGUCAUUCUGCUGGGACUGAAGAUGAGUAAGUUCUGGAUUUUACAUACCAAAGGCAUCAGAAGGGUGCAAGAAGCAUGAAGAUUUCAUUUAUUGAAUAUGAAAAUAUGAAUGAUUGGUAUAAAGCAGAAGUUUACUGCAGUUAUCACUUGAGUAGAGCUCACUUUUGACAAAGCUCAGUGAGAGAAGCAGGGGAACCAUUGUUUACCUUUUGGGUUUUUUCCCAUUCAUAGUAGAAAAAGAAAAAAAUUAGAGCCCUGUCAAACACAGGAGAUCCAUCUCAUGCAGGGUCUUGAAAUAUGGCUUUGCUCCAAACUGGAACAAAACUCCAAAAUUUCCAAAUAUUCAAUGAAGAAAUUUGUCAGAGAAAAACAAUCUAACCCAUGUUCACAGAAUUAGUUCACUUUGUCAGAACUGAAGUGCUCUGUUUUCACUUUGAUUACCUCUUAUUUAUGCAUCUAACUUGAUGCUAAAUAAAAUACCUCAUGCAAAAAUUUCAACUACAGCACUGGCAAAUGGCAUCAUCUGGAGUUACCAAAAUCUUCAUGGAUGUCUACUGAGAUGGUUGAGAAGUGAAUUUCAGUAAUUUAUUGGUGUGUACUUGCUCAUUCAGAUGAGCAAUAUUCAACCAUGUUGAGCAAGUCACCCAUCAUAGAACACCAAGAAGCAGGGAGGCCACCUGACAUACAGCCAGCCCUGCCCAGUGAUUCCAUCCCAGCAGUGCCUGAGGAACCCUAGAAGAUGUGAGGAGGGAUUAUCACAGCUUGGGCUCUGUGCCUCCAACCCACUGCUCCAGGUCCCAAACCUUUUCACACGAAGGAUGGACAGUCCUGGCAGACAACAUUAACAAGCUCCCUUCAUGAUUUGAGUCCUCAUGGACUGUAAGCUGGGUUUCCGUAACCUUGGAAGAUAUUCCUGCCAAUUAGCUUUGAUUUGGAAUCAGCAGCAGCACGGUCAGCAGGUGUGCCCAGCCCACACCAGGUGGGAUUUUAUGUGUCCUAGAACAACCACUGGCUAUAAUGAAAUAUUUGAUGGCUCCUUUAUCUUUUUUGUAAUUAUUUCCAGUCCCUAUCUAGAACAUAACCUGGGUGUGUAAGUGGGAAUAGGAGUUUGGAAACCACUGGAGCCAGCCCUGGGAAAAGGGCUGUGCUGCCCUUGCUCAGCUGCCAGUGCUGAUCCUG